This 236-nucleotide ribosomal RNA is filed under the name uncultured bacterium. RNAcentral describes it as "partial 16S ribosomal RNA". It matches the Rfam family "Bacterial small subunit ribosomal RNA", at positions 99 to 334 of the family's 1533-position model. The record is from RNAcentral.
CAAACGGGUGCGGAACACGUACAGAACCUUCCUUUAAGCGGGGAAUAGCCCGGAGAAAUCCGGAUUAAUAUCCCAUAGUAUGUUAAAGAGGCAUCUUUUUGACAUUAAAGAUUUAUCACUUAGAGAUGGCUGUGCGGCUGAUUAGGUAGUUGGUUGGGGUAACGGCCCACCAAGCCAGCGAUCAGUAACUGGUGUGAGAGCACGACCAGUCACACGGGCACUGAGACACGGGCCCG